UAACACAACUCUUUACAAACAAUGAUGACAACUUUUUUAUAUUUUAAUUGUGUCUGCAUCUAUCAGAGCUCUGAAUCCAACUUAAGUCUCCUUUUCUUGACUCAUUAUUACACAAUUUAUUGUUUUGUUCUAAAGAGUUGCAGAUAACACUUUGUUUGGACCAUAAGAUACUAAUAUAUAAAAGGAGGAACAUUUAUACAUAGCUGUUCAAAUUGCAUGUCUAGAUUUGAUAUCCUGAGAAAAAUGUACAACUUUAAUUAAAAAUGUGUGAAAUUUCACAUUCAGAGAAAUCAUUAAGGGACGUGAUAGCUAAGUGCAAUACUCCAUCAUAGGCUGGAUACUUUCAGAGUGACUAACUGUUAUGUUUUAUCUUGGACUGAUAUGUUUCCUGGGACACGGGACUUUCAGUGCUAAAACAUGGACAGUCAAUCAGACUGCUCAUACUGGUUCUGGAACACACACACACACACACACACACGCACACACAUACUCACACGAGAAAGAGGAAGGGAGAGAGAGAAUGAAUAAAUUAUAAAGCAAACAGGGCAAGUUAUGACAAGUGAAUUGGUAAAGUGUAUAAGGCUCUUCCUUGAACUAUUUUAUUUGUGCAGCUUUUUGGAAGUUUGAAAUUAAUUUCAAAUUUUAAAAAAUGUUAGGAGGUAAACAAAACAAAAACUCUAUUUAGAUAACAAAUUUUUGAACUAAGUACAAAGUUCUUUUUGGUCUGGCACCUAGAGUUUCUACCCAGACUUGCUCAUGUCCUUUCUUUUUGCCAUCACACCACACUUCGUCUCAGUCCUUUCCCCAUAACACAUUCUUCAGCCUUCAUUCCGUUCCAGAGACAGCCUAUGCACGCUCAUCCUAGUGAGAAUUGCACAUAUUGACCAGGCUGAUUGAAAUACCCUUUCUAAUCCCUUUACUCUGUCUCCCAUUAUCUAGUUAAUUUUGAUUCAAUAUUUAGAUCACAGUUAACUUUUUUGCUUCCUUUAGAGCCUGUGAGAGACAAUACUCCCAGAUUAAAUAGAAUCUUCUUGUUACCAUCUCUUUAUGUGUCAUAUAACACUUAUAACAUUGUUAGCAUUUAUUUUUUGUGAUUACUUGAUGGAUGUCUGCCUCCUCCACUAGACCCUAUGAUUUUAAGUGUCAGAAAUAUGCCAGUAUCCAUUCACCAUUUUAUCUUCUCUGUCCAGAACAGCACCAGACACAUGGAAAGGACUCCACAAAUACUUGUUAAAUGAAUGAAUUCUGAUUCACCUGGCUCGAAAUUUCUUAAGGAAUAAUCAUAUCAUGUUUUUGCUCAGGGAGUGUGGCCACAAUAUCUGGAAAUACUGCUAAAGAAGUAAGAACACAAGUGAAGAUUGAAUUUGAAGAUUAGGGGAUACCUUUUUGUAAACAGUAGAUGAAAAAGGAAUGUAUAGUCAGGGAAUGGAGACACCAUUGAAAUAGAAGAGAUUUCAACAUGCUUCAAUAUAAAAAGAAGAGUUUUCUAGAAAGGUGUGGCUCUAGAUCAGAAAUAUGAGGUCAAGGGAAAUUUAUUUCUCAUCUCACAUGGAGAAUACUAAGAAGUGUUAUAGGAAAGAGAAAAUAAACAUAUGAUGCAAC
This 1602-nucleotide long non-coding RNA is filed under the name Pan troglodytes (chimpanzee). RNAcentral's name for it is "lincRNA". Lineage: Eukaryota; Metazoa; Chordata; Mammalia; Primates; Hominidae. The record is from RNAcentral.